Molecule: long non-coding RNA, 378 nt
Organism: Papaver somniferum (opium poppy)
Lineage: Eukaryota; Viridiplantae; Streptophyta; Magnoliopsida; Ranunculales; Papaveraceae
Exons: 3
Source: RefSeq, a predicted model, not a curated record
AUUGAAAAUAAAAAAAAUUCAAAGAAAAAAAAAAGAAGUUAAACCCGUGUCUGGACUCUGGAUGAAGAGGAAGAGUACCCUCGGUGCUCCUGUAAAUUUUGAUCAUCAGAAAAGAAAGAGAGCCGCAAGAAGAGAGAAUAUUAUUAGGGUUUUCAAAUUUGUAUGUCGAAGCUAACAGCUACUGGAUGAACGUCGCUAGAAAAUGAUUUUGGCAGAAAUAAGGGCUCUUACGGCUUCUGCUGAGAACAAUAUUGCUUAUUGGGAACCACUUGCCGUCAAAGGAAAAAAUACGUACCUAAAUCGAGUCACCGUUAUGUCUUUGUUUGCCAUAUGUAUGACGGGUGACCUCAUCCAUACCGAAAAAACUGGCAAGGCAAG